AGUGGGGAAUCUUGCGCAAUGGGCGAAAGCCUGACGCAGCAACGCCGCGUGCGGGAUGAAGGCCUUCGGGCUGUAAACCGCUUUCAGCAGGAACGAAAAUGACGGUACCUGCAGAAGAAGGAGCGGCCAACUACGUGCCAGCAGCCGCGGUGACACGUAGGCUCCAAGCGUUGUCCGGAUUUAUUGGGCGUAAAGAGCUCGUAGGCGGUUGAGUAAGUCGGGUGUGAAAACUCUGGGCUUAACCCGGAGACGCCAUCCGAUACUGCUCUGACUAGAGUUCAGGAGGGGAGUGGGGAAUUCCUAGUGUAGCGGUGAAAUGCGCAGAUAUUAGGAGGAACACCGGUGGCGAAGGCGCCACUCUGGACUGAAACUGACGCUGAGGAGCGAAAGCAUGGGUAGCAAACAGGAUUAGAUACCCUGGUAGUCCAU
Molecule: ribosomal RNA, 429 nt
Filed under: uncultured bacterium
Lineage: Bacteria
Description: bacterial SSU rRNA
Rfam family: Bacterial small subunit ribosomal RNA
Source: RNAcentral